GAUGAAGAACGCAGCGAAAUGCGAUAAGUAAUGCGAAUUGCAGAAUUUCCGUGAGUCAUCGAAUCUUUGAACGCACAUUGCGCCCACUGGUAUUCCGGUGGGCAUGCCUGUUCGAGCGUCAUUAUCCUCCCUCAAACCCCGGGUUUGGUGUUGGAUCCAAGUUGUGUGAACAACUGGUCUCAAAGACAAUGACGGCGUCCGUGGGACCCUCGGUGCAACGAGCUUUUAGGAGCACGCAUCGAGUUGCAAGGACCUUCCGGGCCGGUCUCCUUUACCAUUUUACAAGGUUGACCUCGGAUCAGGUAGGAAUACCCGCUGAACUUAAGCAUAUCAAUAAGCGGAGGA
This 345-nucleotide unclassified non-coding RNA is filed under the name soil metagenome. RNAcentral describes it as "partial contains 5.8S ribosomal RNA, internal transcribed spacer 2, and large subunit ribosomal RNA". The stretch from base 1 to 121 matches the Rfam family "5.8S ribosomal RNA", at positions 35 to 154 of the family's 154-position model. The record is from RNAcentral.